CAGUGUCCUCCCUCCCUUGCAAAGACAAACUUAAAAGUACAUUCUUCACAUUCUCCUUUGUCAAAUGCCCAGUAUUUCAUGUCUUGCCUCGCUGCUAAAUAUAAAAGCUAAGUACAUUUUUUCUUAAACUUUAGGAACCCCCUCCCUUGUCAAAUGUUACAGUUUAAAGUCUGCAUGGCCUCUUUUUAAUUUACUUUAACACUGGUUACAUCAUCAAGUGUGAAUUAGUGUCAAUUUUUGCUGCCUUCAGAUAUUCUCAUUUACUUCAAGUCUUUUUUUCCUCAGACGUCAGGAUACUGGCAACCAUCCCUGUGAGGACCCUUGGGGGAAUGUACACAUAAACAACAGCACCUUCUCGCUCUCACUAAAUAUCUGCACACCUACGGAGCGCUGGCGCCGGGCUGAAGACUGCAGAUGCCAUGAAGCUGCACCUGCCUCAGGCCUGAAAAUAACCCAUUCUACACACCGGUGUCAGAUCCACAGUCCUCACAGACUGCUCCAACUAACGUCUUCCCCUGCUCAGGAACCUUCAAAGGCUCCUAAAUAAAACCUCCUCCACGUGGCAUGCGUGUGAGCCUUUACAUACCUGUGUUACAAUAAAAAAUACCCUAAACAAAG
This is a long non-coding RNA of Heterocephalus glaber (naked mole-rat), 618 nucleotides long. RefSeq lists it as uncharacterized. NCBI's taxonomy places the organism in Eukaryota, Metazoa, Chordata, Mammalia, Rodentia, Bathyergidae. The record is from RefSeq and is a predicted model, not a curated record.